This 3809-nucleotide long non-coding RNA is filed under the name Triticum aestivum (bread wheat). Its description in RNAcentral is "long non-coding RNA (TAES_LNC004274)". The record is from RNAcentral. Lineage: Eukaryota; Viridiplantae; Streptophyta; Magnoliopsida; Poales; Poaceae.
AUGCAUGUUAUAUAGAAAUUCCAAAAUCAUCUUUGUCAACAAAACAUAUUAUUUGAUCCUCUUACAGAUUGUAAAAGUAUGUCUCAUGCUCUACAGAUUGUCAACCAUCUUAUGCUUGUACUCAUCAUCGACUGCUAUAUGUUAUAAGGCACGAUAACAAAUUGUCCUUCAUCACCUCUUGCAAAUCUCACAACCUCCAAUUCUUGAUGCACUAAAUCGACUUUCACCACGACCAUUUCUGUUCCCUCGCCACCCCUGCUCGGAUGAAGAGGUGACUGAAAAGAAAAUGAUAUAAGUACAUCAAACAAUCAGAUCAGGGCUGUUGACAAUCCAGAAAUGCCAUGAGUCAUACUGGUGUACAUGAAUAACCAAAUGCCAUAUACAAUUGUCCUGAAGGGGGUAAAUAGAAAGUUUAACCAAAGUAAUCUUACAACCUCAUAUUAGAGGUUAGAUAUCUUUCACGGCAAUUACGGAAAUGAUGAACACUCUUACAGUAAAGGGAGUCAGUGGUGACAACGGGAGGCACACGCGUAGUCGGCGACAACUGCGCGGAUGAGAGGGGAGGACAGGGGGACUUAGUUUGUGCUCCUGUAGCUACACGAUGGAAGAAGUAAAAAAAUCAGUGUAUGCUCAGUCCAUGCAACAUUAAAAGUGCACCCAAAAAAGAAAAUCAAAAACUCAGUUUAUUCUCAUGGUUCUUUACUCAACACUUGCUUGGCCAUGUUGCUCUUUCCCCGCCUAUUCGCUGCACGUCACAAAAACACAUGCCAAAAGAAAUCUGGAAUACAAUGCCUAAAAAUUUGGAAUAUAAUGCCACAAAAACUUGCAAAAUUUCUUUUAAAUAUGAAUCUCUACUCUCCCCUGUUCACGAAAAUAUGUUGUGCUCUAGCUAGUCUAUACAGAUCAUACAGGUUCUAUUGAUUAGGGGGUCACUAAUAAGUGGAGAAAUAUGUAUAGAGAGAUAUGGGCGAGAAAGGCGCAGUACCAUUGCCUAUGUAACGUAUUAGUCUAACAUUCAUCAGUAUUAUAUACCGUGAAAUGUACAAGUCCACAUUGCAGACCACCCAAACAUGUCACAAUCCCUAUAUUAAGCUGAUAAAGCAAAUGAACAACCAGUCAGAACAUACUUAAAGUCAGGUCGAUUUACAAAUUGCAGGCAAUGAUCAAGAGUAGGUGAAUUACUAACCAAAGGAAGCCUCCAGAAUCAAAUCGAGCAUGACACCAUCAUGGACAUCAGGUUGAAGCGAUCUAUUUUCUAGAUAAUAUACCUUGCAUUUCUGUAGUAAUAAAGCAUGAACAAUGAUUGGAGAUUAGAAGAAAAAAUGAUAGAAAGAAAUAGUUGUGAGAGAUCUUGCAUUCACAUUUCAUGUAGCACAAUUAGAGAGAGAAAAGACAGGCAAAUAUAAAAAAUAAGGCCAAGAAUUGUUUUCUUAAAGCCUUAAAAUGAACUGGUAAAGAAAAACAAACCCCAUGGAAGAAAAGAACAAAAUAUGUGCUUCAGGUAGAAGCAUCAGUCACCAGGCUCACAUCCAAGGUUUUUGAGUCGCCGACUAAUCGCCAAGUCGUUGGAGCGAGGUUGGCUUGCACAGGCGACUUGGCUUGAGGAGCGAGUCGCGCGGCUGGUAGGCUAGUCGACGAUUAGUCGACGACUAGUCGGGCGACUAGGACCUCAGAGCAGGGCGGCUUGCUUCAGCAAGGCCAAGGGAGGGAAGACUGGGAAGGUGAGGAGGCCAGAGUUUGAGGGAGGGGAGGAGGAGACGAAGCUGGAGAGUGCGCCGCCUGUACGAGAAGCACGGAAGAGACGAAGGAGAAAGGCACAUGGGAGAGCAGAUGCACGGUCCAGAUUAGAGCAUAUGGACGGUUGGGAUUUUAUUUGGAAGCUAGGGUUACAUAAUGGGCCUAUUGGGCCAGCUCUCUAGCACGAAACAGAGGAGCAAGACGCGUGCUCCCAUCCCACAUCAGAAUCGCCGCCUCCAUUGCUCCUACGAGCUGCUGCUGCCUUCUCCGAGCUGAAGUAUCCUCCAAGCAGCUGCCUUCCCCCUCCUCCGCGUGCAACAGCACCUCUUCCCCCUCCUCCUCCUCCUCUUCCCCCUCCUCCUCCUCUUAACACCUGGGGCGACUUGGGGGCGAUUAAUCACGACGAGUCACAGACUAAUCGCAGCGAGCCACUAGUUGGAGGCAUGGCGACUCGACUUGGCUAGGCGACUCAAAAACCUUGCUCACAUCAUUGUUCUUUGCCAUGGUGCAGGCUUUGGUGCUGAAUGUAGAAUCUAGGCUUCCUCCUGACUACCCUUCUAAUGGUAUCCUCUCCUGCCUCAAUCUACGUUGUGUGGAUACUUCAGAAAGCGCACGUAUCCAGCCGGAUACUGCCCCGAUACGUAUCCCGUAAAUAUCUUUCGAUUUUUUGAUUUUAGAAAAAGAAAAUAAUGUUCGAUACUCCUGGGAUACUGCUGCGAUACGUUUUGGAUACCUCAAACCCCUCGUUCAACCUGAAAUCCCCUCAAUAGAAAAGGCGCACGUUUGAAGAUUCCCAACAUGGGCGUGAGUUCAUGUCAAAACAUGACUAUCAAUGUUCUUGUUCACCGGCCAUGUUGCUCUAAUUUCCCCUACGCCUAUUCACUGCACGUCACAACAACACAUGCCAAAAGAAAAUCUGGAAUAUAAUGACUAAAAAUUUGGAAUAUAAUGCCACAAAAACUUGCAAAAUUUCUUUUAAAUAUGCAUCUCUACUCUCUCCUGUUCACAAAAAUAUGUUGUACUCUAGCUAGCAUAUACAGAUCAUACAUGUUCUAUUGAUUGGGGGGUCACCAAUCAGUGGAGAAAUCUGUAUAGAGAUAUAUGGGUGAGAAAGGCGCAGUACCAUUGCCUAUGUAACAUAUUAGUGUAACAAUCAUCAGUAUUAUAUACCUUGAAAUGUACAAGUCCACAUUGCAGACCACCCAAACAUGUCACAAUCCCUAUAUUGAGCUGAUAAAGCAAAAGAACCAGUCAGAACAUAUUAAAGUCAGGUUGAUUUACAAAUUGCAGGCAAUGAUUAAGAGUAGGUGAAUUACUAACCAAAGGAAGCCUCCAGAAUCAAAUCGAGCUGACACCAUCAUGGAUCAUUAGGUUGAAGCGAUAUAUUUCCUAGAUAAUAUACCUUGCAUUCCUGUAGUAAUAAAGCAUGCACAAUGAUUGGAGAUUAGAAUAAAAAAGGAUAGAAAGAAAUAGUUGUGAGAGAUCUUACAUUCACAUUUCAUGUAGCACACUAGAGAGAGGAAAAGACCGGCAAAUAUAAAAAAUAAGGACAAGAAUUGUUUUCUUAAAGGCCUAACUAAAAUGAACUGGUAAAGAACAACAAACCCCAUGGAAGAAAAGAACAAAAUAUGUUCUUCAGGUAGAAACAUCAGUCACCAGACUCACAUCAUUGUUCUCUGCUAUGGUGCAGGCUUUGGUGCUGAAUGUAGACUCUAGAGCUUCCUCCUGACUACCCUUCUCAUGGUAUCCUCUCAUGCCUCAAGCCCCCAAUCGACUUCUCCAAUCUCCAACUUGCCCAUGUGUUGCAGCAUGUCCCAAAAAGAGACAAACAUGAGGUACUGCGUCUUGCCCGGGACAUCAACCUAUGUACAAAAAGAUUUCUUAGUAUUAGUUCAUACUCCGUACUUCAUAGCUGGAAGAAAGUAAUAUUAAAGGAAUGGUUCAAUCACAGUAUAACCUAGAAGUGUAAAAAUUAAAGAGAAACCUUAACCUUUAGAAGACAACUUUCCCAACUUUGUGCCAUCCGCUUCUAGACUUCACAUGCGCACCACGAUUGUGCUACUUAUACAUGC